Molecule: long non-coding RNA, 120 nt
Organism: Ipomoea nil (Japanese morning glory)
Lineage: Eukaryota; Viridiplantae; Streptophyta; Magnoliopsida; Solanales; Convolvulaceae
Exons: 3
Source: RefSeq, a predicted model, not a curated record
GUUAGUAAGGUGCGCGGUUUAUCUACUUAAGAUGCGUCGAUCUAAUGCUUUAGGUGCGCGUGGUUGGUGUUCUUAAAGGUACUUUGUUUGUGUGCUUAAGGUGCGUGGUUUGUGUAUUUA